ACCAGAUGCAGUGGUGUGUGCCUGUAGUCCCAGCCACUUGGGAGGCUGACGCAGGAGCAUUUCUUGAGCCCAGGAGCUUGCGGCUGUAAUGCGCUGUGCAGAUCGGGUGUUCCACAAUGAGCUGGGCAUCAGUGUGAUGACUUCCCGGGAGUGGGAGACCACCAAGUGGUGUAAGGAGGGGUGAACUGGCCCCAAGGUUGGAAAUGGAGCAGGUCAAAAUUCCCGGUGCUAAUCAGUAGUGGGAUCACACCUGUGAAUAGCUGCGGCACUCCAGCCUGGGCAACAUAGGGAGAUUCUAUCUCUU
This 304-nucleotide signal recognition particle RNA is filed under the name Macaca fascicularis (crab-eating macaque). RNAcentral describes it as "Metazoan signal recognition particle RNA (ENSMFAG00000009977.2)". It matches the Rfam family "Metazoan signal recognition particle RNA". From Rfam's summary of the family: The signal recognition particle (SRP) is a universally conserved ribonucleoprotein. It is involved in the co-translational targeting of proteins to membranes. The eukaryotic SRP consists of a 300-nucleotide 7S RNA and six proteins: SRPs 72, 68, 54, 19, 14, and 9. The record is from Rfam by way of RNAcentral. Lineage: Eukaryota; Metazoa; Chordata; Mammalia; Primates; Cercopithecidae.